GCUGAGGCGUGAUGACGAGGCACUACGGUGCUGAAGCAACAAAUGCCCUGCUUCCAGGAAAAGCCUCUAAGCAUCAGGUAACAUCAAAUCGUACCCCAAACCGACACAGGUGGUCAGGUAGAGAAUACCAAGGCGCUUGAGAGAACUCGGGUGAAGGAACUAGGCAAAAUGGUGCCGUAACUUCGGGAGAAGGCACGCUGAUAUGUAGGUGAAGUCCCUCGCGGAUGGAGCUGAAAUCAGUCGAAGAUACCAGCUGGCUGCAACUGUUUAUUAAAAACACAGCACUGUGCAAACACGAAAGUGGACGUAUACGGUGUGACGCCUGCCCGGUGCCGGAAGGUUAAUUGAUGGGGUUAGCGCAAGCGAAGCUCUUGAUCGAAGCCCCGGUAAACGGCGGCCGUAACUAUAACGGUCCUAAGGUAGCGAAAUUCCUUGUCGGGUAAGUUCCGACCUGCACGAAUGGCGUAAUGAUGGCCAGGCUGUCUCCACCCGAGACUCAGUGAAAUUGAACUCGCUGUGAAGAUGCAGUGUACCCGCGGCAAGACGGAAAGACCCCGUGAACCUUUACUAUAGCUUGACACUGAACAUUGAGCCUUGAUGUGUAGGAUAGGUGGGAGGCUUUGAAGUGUGGACGCCAGUCUGCAUGGAGCCGACCUUGAAAUACCACCCUUUAAUGUUUGAUGUUCUAACGUUGACCCGUAAUCCGGGUUGCGGACAGUGUCUGGUGGGUAGUUUGACUGGGGCGGUCUCCUCCUAAAGAGUAACGGAGGAGCACGAAGGUUGGCUAAUCCUGGUCGGACAUCAGGAGGUUAGUGCAAUGGCAUAAGCCAGCUUGACUGCGAGCGUGACGGCGCGAGCAGGUGCGAAAGCAGGUCAUAGUGAUCCGGUGGUUCUGAAUGGAAGGGCCAUCGCUCAACGGAUAAAAGGUACUCCGGGGAUAACAGGCUGAUACCGCCCAAGAGUUCAUAUCGACGGCGGUGUUUGGCACCUCGAUGUCGGCUCAUCACAUCCUGGGGCUGAAGUAGGUCCCAAGGGUAUGGCUGUUCGCCAUUUAAAGUGGUACGCGAGCUGGGUUUAGAACGUCGUGAGACAGUUCGGUCCCUAUCUGCCGUGGGCGCUGGAGAACUGAGGGGGGCUGCUCCUAGUACGAGAGGACCGGAGUGGACGCAUCACUGGUGUUCGGGUUGUCAUGCCAAUGGCACUGCCCGGUAGCUAAAUGCGGAAGAGAUAAGUGCUGAAAGCAUCUAAGCACGAAACUUGCC
RNAcentral lists this ribosomal RNA (1262 nucleotides) under Escherichia coli. Its description in RNAcentral is "partial 23S ribosomal RNA". It matches the Rfam family "Bacterial large subunit ribosomal RNA", at positions 1555 to 2798 of the family's 2925-position model. The record is from RNAcentral. Lineage: Bacteria; Pseudomonadati; Pseudomonadota; Gammaproteobacteria; Enterobacterales; Enterobacteriaceae.